CGGGUUGGCUGGGGGUGCCCGAUACCGGGCUGAGAGACACCCUUGGAACCUGAUCCGGAUCAUGCCGGCGAAGGGAAGCCCGCCGUCGCUUCC
This 93-nucleotide non-coding RNA is filed under the name Candidatus Muproteobacteria. RNAcentral describes it as "TPP sequence". It matches the Rfam family "TPP riboswitch aptamer (THI element)". Rfam says of the family: Vitamin B(1) in its active form thiamin pyrophosphate (TPP) is an essential coenzyme that is synthesised by coupling of pyrimidine and thiazole moieties in bacteria. The record is from RNAcentral. Lineage: Bacteria; Pseudomonadati; Pseudomonadota.